GAGACUCUUGGGAAAGCUGACUUUUUCCCUCAAACUCUCCUAGACCUUCCUUCUUGCUGCCCUUGGAGAUAGCAAGUCCACUGAGCUGUCACCCUCUUUUCAUCCUUCUGCCUAUGACCAGCCACAUGGUCAGGCUGGGGAAUUCACAUCCUUGGGCAGUAACCAGCAAGUUUUUAUCCAGCAAUGCCUCAAGGGAUGUUCCAUUACUCUCAGGAGCUGGCCGUUAAGUCUGUUCUAUGCUGUCAGUCAGCACCAGAGAUACAUAGGACUCUACAGCCCAGCUCAGCUUAGACUUCCAGUGGGAGACUUUUUACAAAGUGGGGUUCCUAUCCCCCAAAUGUUGACUCUAACCUAAUUCACAAUCANNNNNNNNNNNNNNNNNNNNNNNNNNNNNNNNNNNNNNNNUCAUUCUAUCCUCACAGCCUAGGGAAAUAGGAUUCUUCAUUCCAUUUCUCCACGCUAGGAAACUGAGGCACAGAGUGGAGUUCUAGUGCACGAGGACAGUCAGGAGGUGGCACAGUGCCCGGACUUGAGCCCAGGGCUCUAUGAGGGUCUCUUCCCUUCAUAGCCUCUUCCCUGCUCAUUCCUCUCACUCUGAGUGGUACGGAGGUUGACUGUAAAGAAANNNNNNUUGGUUUUGAUCCUUUACAAGCUUUCUGCUAAGAAGUGUCUGAGGCUGUGGUCUUCCAAAAAGAAAUAGGAGCUUGAUUGAAGCCCCCACAUUUUCAAACAUCUUAUUUUCUAUUUCUGGGCAGCUCUGCUAACAGGUCAGUGCUGUCUUAGGAGGCAUCUGACUCAACCUUGGAAGCACCUUGCAGUGUCUUUACUAUCUUGCUCCCUAAGGGAACUGUUUUUCUCUCUCUCUCUUUUUUUCUUUCUAACUGGUGGGAAAAUCCUACUCAUGAAAGCAUGUUUAGAGGGUGGGAGCAGGACUGGGCCUCCCAGGGCAUCUGGCCCUGCUUGCUUUGGUGGAGGCCUGGAGAAGUAGGUGGGGGCUGGGUGGCAGAAGGGGGCCCUCCCAACCCAUUCUCCAGCGUGGCCCCCUCUCUCCUGAUGGCUGCUCCUGUUGUGCCUGCAGUGACUGUCCUCACCGUUCAACCCUGUGCUGUGUGGUGUAUUUUUUUUUUUUUCACUGACAUUGAAUAAAAAGUGUGACCGUGCUGGGGGCCUCUUCUCUUCCCCCAGUGGAGACAGGGCUGGGGUGAGGAGAAAAGGGGAGAAACGACCUGAGGGAGCUCACACAAUGGGGGAACCUCGGCAUCCUCCUUGCGGCAGAGGUCCUUGUUCCAGGUUACAGGGAACAGAGACCCACUCAAGCUAGUUCACAGCAAGGGGUGAGCAGAUAACAAGGGACUCUAAAGAUGGAAAUUCAAGAAUGGCUGGGCCUCAAGAGAACAGGCGCUGUCAGUGGGACCUCUGCCCUCUCAUCUCUGGACCUUGAGGGUUCUUAUCCCUUUGGCAAUAUUCGCGUCUAUACUCUUUUCUUUAGUUUCUCUUGAGACCCCCUUGGUUUCCCUGCACAAAGUGGCUGCUUCUUCAACUCUGUAUCCAGACUCACCAAUGACUGACAGCUCCCUUCUGUGUCUCUUAAUUCAGUUUUCAAGCAAGGGAAUCUGAUUGGUUCAGUUUCGCUUUUCCUGGGAGGCCUUGAUCCAUUCAUCAGCGCCAGACCAUAUGCUGAUUUGGGGGGUGUGGGGGCAGGAAUACUGUCCCCAAAAGGGAGCUAGUGGCAGCAAGCCUUGGACUCAGUUUCUCCCUCUGUCCAAUGGAAGACAUGGUAAGAGCCCACCUGAGUUAGUGGGCAGUUAGUGGAUAGAGGGCAGUGGGGAGAAAGGCCAAGAGUCAGGAUUACAAUUAGUCUACCUCGUGCUCUUUGCACACGUUAGGAAAAGGUGCCCCUUUGAAUGUAGCAAUCCCAUAAGCAUGCAGCUAGGCCAGUAGAUGGCACAUUUGAGCUAAUGAGAAUGAUAUACCCCUUUCAUGCCCCAGUUCACAGCUUGGCAAGGGGCACACAGCCUGGAUCUCAGCCUCUGCUUGCCCCCCUGGUCCAGGGUGUUGNGUAGCGCAGACACUGUUCCACCAUCCACAGGAGCCCAGAGUCCUGAGAACCGUUUACGCUGACCCAGAGGUGGUGGGGUGGUGAUGGGAGUUGGUGGCAAAGUGUUUUUCUCAGAACAUGCCCCCCUCAACAGCCAGAGAAGCACUGUUCCCUACAGGGAGUGGGGGCCAGUGAGGGGGGAGCGGUCAGCUGAAGGUUUCUGCUUCCUCCUGAAACGCUCAAUUACUUUUACAAAGGUUUUCUCAAGGACGCUUGGAGGGAGCCAGCUCCCUUGACAG
Molecule: long non-coding RNA, 2337 nt
Filed under: Capra hircus (goat)
Lineage: Eukaryota; Metazoa; Chordata; Mammalia; Artiodactyla; Bovidae
Description: lncRNA (ENSCHIG00010000141.1)
Source: RNAcentral